UGGUUUUAUUUGUGUUUUGUUUUUUUAUAAGUUAUUUAUAGUAAAGUUUAUGGUUAAUCUGUCAAAUAUCAAGCCUCAAUUACAUUCUUUGUCAUAAGAAUUAUAAUGGCGACAUAUUAGGUCUCAUUGAACUUUGUUUCCUCGACAGAAUGCUCAGCGUUUCUGUAUCGAUAUCGGCAUCAGCCACCAGAACGUCAAGUUGUGCAGUUUUUUCCGGAUGAAAAUCUAACAAAGACGCUGAAGCCGGAAUUGAUCCGUGAUUGUUUUGCGUGCGUGCUUGCGUGCGUGCGUGCGUGCGUGCGCGUGCGUGCGUGCGCGUGCGUGCGUGCGUGUGUGUGUGUGCGUGUGCGCGCUCAGAUUUCACUGAAAACUAAGACACAGCGAGUUGUUCCGAGGCUGUAACUUUCCUCCUCUGGUGGAUGGAAAAGUUAUGAAACGAUAUAAAGUUUCCUCUGUCUUUUGUUCUGAGGCACAGAUUCGUCUGUCGUCCAUCUGCACUAUGUGUCCGGUGACGAGACCCGCGACAGGGACUUGAGCUGCGUCACUGACGGAGGAACGAUGAGUCGUGUUUGAACGUUGUAGUUUGAAGCUUCAUUGUUUUAUUCUGCUGCGCUGCUGCCGUUUCUUAUCACGGGGGGGAAACGUGGGGAGGCCGCGCCGCUAUCUCGCUCUGCAGUCGACGUGUUGCACGGCGGGAACAGUCGCUUCUGCUCCUAUCGCAGACUGUCAGAGCUCGGCCUUCGCUCGGAGGCCGUUCUGCAGAGUCGUCACUGUCCACAGCCUCGGCGCUAAAAAGUCACAAUCGGAUGCAAACAGAAACAACAAACCUCUUCCAACGCACGAGAUGCAACAUCUGCACCGUGUUUGAUUUUAAACUUCACCUUUAACUGCUGUUGUUCGACUUGAGCAUCGGGAGCACGUCCGGACUCUGCUCGUCACCGCGUCGCCCCCGUGGCCCCCGUGUGGAUCGGUGAGGGAACAGAAGGAGCAAGAGAAAUGUGUGUUUCUCCUGGUGAGUGGGAGCACGAGGCCGAGGACGUGAUAUCAGCUGACAGAGCGUCUUUGUCUGAGAGGAACAGAGACCUGAGCAGCCUUGACUGAUGUAACCACUCCCCGUGACAACAUGUUCCUGUAUCAAUGCCGACUGUUGGAAAUAUUAAUCAUAUAAAGAAAACACACUCCUGUCAGAGUGCCCGCUGUGCGGAAGCCCCACAGACGACAUGGAAAUAUGGAUGAUGCUGCUCCGGUCGACAGGUGUUUGUGAUCCAGGCGUGUGCGGAUGAUUACAGCGUUCCGUCUCGCCGACACGUCGCGGCCUCGGAGACGCUGAGAGACGUGACGCACACGACAAACACACACUGAUACUGUACAAAUCAACUCUUCAUUGAAGAAAGGACAAUGAAUACAUGUGUAUGCAAAUAUUUAGCAGAGGGAGAAAAUCUAUUUUUUUCCUCAGGGAUGCGUGUGGCAGAAUAUUGGUGUAUGUGUUUACAUAUAUAUAUAUAUACAGUAUAUAUAUAUGUGUGUUUUACAUAUAUUUGUAGAGUUGAAUGAAUGAGUCCUCGUCUCACUGUAUCCAGAACUGUGACUGUGGCCACGUUCCCUCUGUCCACAUGGAGAUUCCACAAUAUUAAAGCUACGGUGUGUCAUAUUUAGAAGAACUUUUUCACAGAAAUUGAA
Molecule: long non-coding RNA, 1680 nt
Organism: Scophthalmus maximus (turbot)
Lineage: Eukaryota; Metazoa; Chordata; Actinopteri; Pleuronectiformes; Scophthalmidae
Exons: 2
Source: RefSeq, a predicted model, not a curated record